Molecule: ribosomal RNA, 279 nt
Filed under: uncultured bacterium
Lineage: Bacteria
Description: partial 16S ribosomal RNA
Rfam family: Bacterial small subunit ribosomal RNA
Source: RNAcentral
UGCCAGCAGCCGCGGUAAUACGAAGGGUGCUAGCGUUGUUCGGAAUUACUGGGCGUAAAGAGCAUGUAGGCGGGCCUGUGCGUCAGGGGUUAAAUAUACCGGCUCAACCGGUAAAGUGCCCUUGAUACGGCAGGUCUUGAGUACGAGAGAGGAUGGUAGAAUUCCUGGUGUAGCGGUGAAAUGCGUAGAUAUCAGGAGGAAUACCAGUGGCGAAGGCGGCCAUCUGGCUCGGUACUGACGCUCAGACCCGAAAGCGUGGGUAGCAAACAGGAUUAGAUA